UCGAGGAUCUUCGGCAAUGGGGGCAACCCUGACCGAGCGACGCCGCGUGGACGACGAAGGCCUUCGGGUUGUAAAGCCCUUUUGCCGGGGACGAUGAUGACGGUACCCGGAGAAGAAGCACCGGCUAACUCCGUGCCAGCAGCCGCGGUAAGACGGAGGGUGCUAGCGUUGUUCGGAAUUACUGGGCGUAAAGGGCGCGUAGGCGGCCUGUUAAGUCGGUUGUGAAAGCCCGGGGCUCACCCCCGGAAC
RNAcentral lists this ribosomal RNA (249 nucleotides) under uncultured Rhodospirillales bacterium. RNAcentral describes it as "partial 16S ribosomal RNA". It matches the Rfam family "Bacterial small subunit ribosomal RNA", at positions 355 to 621 of the family's 1533-position model. Lineage: Bacteria; Pseudomonadati; Pseudomonadota; Alphaproteobacteria; Rhodospirillales. The record is from RNAcentral.